AGGAGGGUUCCUUUAUAGGUAAGAAGGGUUGAGCUGUAAACUCAAUAGCUAAAGCUUUUAAGAGUUCGAAUCUCUUGUCUCCUA
Non-coding RNA from Triticum urartu, 84 nucleotides. The record is from Rfam. Lineage: Eukaryota; Viridiplantae; Streptophyta; Magnoliopsida; Poales; Poaceae.